RNAcentral lists this small RNA (1880 nucleotides) under Pongo abelii (Sumatran orangutan). RNAcentral's name for it is "retained intron". The record is from RNAcentral. Lineage: Eukaryota; Metazoa; Chordata; Mammalia; Primates; Hominidae.
GGGGGCCUGAUAAAGCCAAAAGACAGUUCCAGGAAGUUUAGGAGUGGAGAAGGCUUUGCCCAUUGCUUUUAAAAUUGGGGAAAUCGGGGUGGAAAAUUAGUUCUUCAAAAGUGUUUCUUUGAUAUCACCGCUGCUAAGGGAUCCUUUUUGGGCGUUGGUUCAUUCUAGAUCCCUUGGAUUGCUUUCAAGUAAUACCAAAGUGCUGGAGGAACCCUGGAAUCAUUCCUGUGCCCAGAGAUUCUGUAAAGAGAGAGUAUCUUAGAAAAUCUCAAACCACAGAAAAUACAUUGAUCCAUUGCAGCACAGAAUCUUGGCUUCCACGAUCCUCUUUUUAUAAUGCUCUCAUCAUUUGUAUAUGUAUUUAAAUAUCUGAGUCUAUCCACAUCUCUCCAUUUCCACUACCACUGUUCAAGUUCAGUAUCACAUCUUCACAUCCUGGAAGACUGUUCUGGCACCCAAACUGUGCACUUGUAUCUAUCUGUUCUGACUUCUCCCAGCCACUCUCCACACUAAAGCUAGAGUAAACCUUUAAAAGCACAAAUGUGUCAUGGUGUCCUCCUGCUUAGCAGUCUCCACUGGUAUCUCUUUGCUGUUGGGCUAAGACAAAAUCCUUUAGUGGGGAUUAUAAGCUCCUCACACUCUAGUUCCCUUUACUUCAGUCACACUGGCAGUUUUGGAGUUUCUCAAAUUCCCCAUAUGUCCUCCAACAUAGUACCUGAGCAUGCUGUUUCCUCUACCCGGAGCCCUUUGCCCAGUUAAUUCCAAUCUCAGCUCAAGAACCACUUCCUCAUGGAAGCAUUUCUUGACAUCCCUGGCUAGGUCAAAUCUCCCAUUCUAGGGCUUCUUAGUGCUAUAUCCUCUCUUUGUAGCAGUUGCACAGUUCUAACUUUACAUUUAUUCGUGUGAUUAAAGUAUUUCCUCUUCGCUAUACUGUCAGCACCAUGAGAACAAGGCACAUAUCUGGUUUUGCUCUUUACUUUUCUUAAGACUUUGCCAUAAGUAGGGUCCUUUCCCAGGCUAAUUCUUAACUUAGUACUUUUAAUUACACUAAUAAGGAAGUUUCAGGACACGAAGAAACAGACCAGCUAAAGGUUUUCUACUUUGCUAUUAUUUUUUAAGAAAUCAAUGCUAAUAAUGUUUUAGUUGAAAGCAGUGUAUUCUGAUCAGUCAAGGACCUCUGAUCCCACCUGUUCUGGAAGACAAAAUGGCAUGCCUGCAGUCCACAACCUGACACUUCAUGUAAUAAACUGGCAGCUGCUUCGAGUUAUGAUAUGACUCUGACAAAUGCUUGUAUUGCCUUAAGUCAAAGAUGGAUUACUGCCAAAGAAGAUGAUUUAAAUUCAUUCAAUGCCACAGACCUGAAAGAUCUCUCUUCUCAUCAGUUGAAUGAGUUUUUAGCACAGACGCUCCAGACGGCACCUCUUCCAUUGGGGCACAUAAAGCGAAUGCAAGAGGUGUACAACUUCAAUGCCAUUAACAAUUCUGAAAUACGAUUCAGAUGGCUGCGGCUCUGCAUUCAAUCCAAGUGGGAGGAUGCAAUUCCUUUGGCGCUAAAGAUGGCAACUGAACAAGGAAGAAUGAAGUUUACCCGGCCCUUAUUCAAGGAUCUUGCUGCCUUUGACAAAUCCCAUGAUCAAGCUGUCCGAACCUACCAAGAGCACAAAGCAAGCAUGCAUCCCGUGACUGCAAUGCUGGUGGGGAAAGACUUAAAAGUGGAUUAAAGACCUGCGUAUUGAUGAUUUUAGAGAUUUCUCUUUUUUAAAUGGAAUUCGUAAAGAAAUAUAAAACUUCCGCUCAUAAUUAAAACUGUCUUUUUAGUUUUGGCUUUUUAUUGUUUUGUUGGUGAUUUUACUAAAAUAAAGUUGAGCUACUACUUCUUA